UAGGGAAUCUUCCGCAAUGGACGAAAGUCUGACGGAGCGACGCCGCGUGAGUGAUGGAGGUUUUCGGAUCGUAAAACUCUGUUGUCAGGGAAGAACACGUACGGGAGUAACUGUCCGUACCUUGACGGUACCUGACCAGAAAGCCACGGCUAACUACGUGCCAGCAGCCGCGGUAAUACGUAGGUGGCAAGCGUUGUCCGGAAUUAUUGGGCGUAAAGCGCGCGCAGGCGGUCCUUUAAGUCUGAUGUGAAAGCCCACGGCUCAACCGUGGAGGGUCAUUGGAAACUGGGGGACUUGAGUGCGGGAGAGAAGAGUGGAAUUCCACGUGUAGCGGUGAAAUGCGUAGAGAUGUGGAGGAACGCCAGUGGCGAAGGCGACUCUUUGGCCUGUAACUGACGCUGAGGCGCGAAAGCGUGGGGAGCAAACAGGAUUAGAUACCCUGGUAGUCCACGCCGUAAACGAUGAGUGCUAAGUGUUAGAGGGUUUCCGCCCUUUAGUGCUGCAGUAAACGCAUUAAGCACUCCGCCUGGGGAGUACGGCCGCAAGGCUG
This 550-nucleotide ribosomal RNA is filed under the name uncultured bacterium. RNAcentral's name for it is "bacterial SSU rRNA". It matches the Rfam family "Bacterial small subunit ribosomal RNA", at positions 355 to 896 of the family's 1533-position model. The record is from RNAcentral.